Molecule: ribosomal RNA, 363 nt
Filed under: Ancylomarina longa
Lineage: Bacteria; Pseudomonadati; Bacteroidota; Bacteroidia; Marinilabiliales; Marinifilaceae
Description: Bacterial large subunit ribosomal RNA
Rfam family: Bacterial large subunit ribosomal RNA
Source: Rfam by way of RNAcentral
ACUGUAUGCUGAGAACUGAUAGCAAGCUGUACUUGUACAGUGAAGUGGCUGAUACCAUGCUUCCAGGAAAAGUCUCUAAGCUUCAGUUACAUAGGAAUCGUACCCGAAACCGACACAGGUGGUCAGGUCGAGUAGACCAAAGCGCUUGAGAGAACUCUGCUGAAGGAACUAGGCAAAAUGGUACCGUAACUUCGGGAGAAGGUACGCUCUUGACGGUGAAGUCCCUUGCGGAUGGAGCUAUUAGGAGUCGCAGAUACCAGGUGGCUGCAACUGUUUAUUAAAAACACAGCACUGUGCAAAAUCGUAAGAUGACGUAUACGGUGUGACGCCUGCCCGGUGCCGGAAGGUUAAUUGAUGGGGUUA